GCCUUUACUGACGCUAAAGCUCGAAGGUGCGGGUAUCGAACAGGAUUAGAUACCCUGGUAGUCCGCACGGUAAACGAUGGAUGCCCGCUGUUUGCGAUAUACUGUGAGCGGCCAAGAGAAAUCGUUAAGCAUCCCACCUGGGGAGUACGCCGGCAACGGUGAAACUCAAAGGAAUUGACGGGGGCCCGCACAAGCGGAGGAACAUGUGGUUUAAUUCGAUGAUACGCGAGGAACCUUACCCGGGCUUGAACUGCAGCGGAAGGAAACAGAGAUGUUGACGUCCUUCGGGACCGCUGUGGAGGUGCUGCAUGGUUGUCGUCAGCUCGUGCCGUGAGGUGUCGGCUUAAGUGCCAUAACGAGCGCAACCCCUUUCAUUAGUUGCCAUCACUUCGGGUGGGCACUCUGGUGAUACUGCCACCGUAAGGUGUGAGGAAGGUGGGGAUGACGUCAAAUCAGCACGGCCCUUACGUCCGGGGCUGCACACGUGUUACAAUGGGUGAUACAGAGGGCCGGUGCAUGGCAAUGCGCAUCAAAUCUUGAAAGUCAUCCUCAGUUCGGAUUGGGGUCUGCAACCCGACCCCAUGAAGCUGGAUUCGCUAGU
This 601-nucleotide ribosomal RNA is filed under the name uncultured bacterium. RNAcentral's name for it is "bacterial SSU rRNA". It matches the Rfam family "Bacterial small subunit ribosomal RNA", at positions 733 to 1339 of the family's 1533-position model. The record is from RNAcentral.